CCAGCGGCCGUUACCACUUAGAGCGCGGUGGCGGUGGGAAGCGAACGGGGUGCGGAAAGCGGAAGUCUCCGCGGGACCGGCUGUUCCCGUGGAGGGAUGGAGAUCCGUCGCGCCGCACCUCCUAGCCUUAGUACUCGUUUACUUCUUGGGCUCUCGGGCUUAGAUACGUGGAGAAAAAGAGGGACUUCCAGCUCGCGGUGUCCUCUUGAGGUCGCCCAGAAGGUUUGGUGGUGAGAACCGGAUUCCUAAAGAAGAGCUUACAGCCCUCUGGAAAUUGAACUUGGGAAAAGCCUCCCUGGCCAGAAAAACCCUUUUGAUCUGUGAUUGUAGAGCCCGAAUUUCUGCCCAAAGCCGAGUGUUGGACACUUCAGCCAAAGCUGUCCCAGUCUGAUCUUUGAAAUGGGACACACCGCCCAGCCUGGGUUCCGUCUAUGCCUGGCGCUACACCCAUGAUGCCUACGAGUGGGCUUCCUCCUGCUCUUAAGUAUGUCUUAGUCCUUCGGCUGCAACGUAUGAAUCUCUGUGAGCUGUACAUUUGCCUGGCACUCCUAUGUUGACAAAGGAUCACUCGACUUCUAGCAAAUAAUAGAACAUGGAAAACAGGAUGGCAGUCACCUCAACACCAGGAUGUAGGCAACAGUAACUGACAGGAUGAUGGUCUCAUCCUGUUGCUCCAGGAACACCUUUCAAGAGCUAAGGAUUGUAUAUUGGACUUUACCAAUACCUCUUGGUGACUAGAAAAUUCCUGGAAAGGAAGAGCAGAAUGGGAGAGAGCUGCAGAGAGUGUUCCUGUCUUCUCCUCCACUACCCUUCCUGCAGUUUUUCCUUGCUGCUGGCCAAAUCCCAGAGAGACUUCACCCUACCGGUCUACUCACUUUAAGAGAAAUCGUAGACAUUAACUUUUAAAAAGGAAUCUAUGAACUCAUGGUAACACUUG
Long non-coding RNA from Peromyscus maniculatus bairdii (prairie deer mouse), 937 nucleotides. RefSeq lists it as uncharacterized. NCBI's taxonomy places the organism in Eukaryota, Metazoa, Chordata, Mammalia, Rodentia, Cricetidae. The record is from RefSeq and is a predicted model, not a curated record.